This 304-nucleotide ribosomal RNA is filed under the name uncultured bacterium. RNAcentral describes it as "bacterial SSU rRNA". It matches the Rfam family "Bacterial small subunit ribosomal RNA", at positions 29 to 355 of the family's 1533-position model. The record is from RNAcentral.
AACGAACGCUGGCGGCAGGCUUAACACAUGCAAGUCGAACGGCUGUAGCAAUACAGCAGUGGCAGACGGGUGAGUAACACGUGGGAACCUUCCUAGGGGGUACGGAACAACUCAGGGAAACUUGAGCUAAUACCGUAUACGUCCGUAAGGAGAAAGAUUCAUCGCCCCUAGACGGGGCCCGCGUCGGAUUAGGUAGUUGGUGGGGGUAACGGCCUACCAAGCCUGCGAUCCGUAGCUGAUCUGAGAGGAUGAUCAGCCACACUGGGACUGAGACACGGCCCAGACUCCUACGGGAGGCAGCAGU